ACUGGUCGAGUCGGCCUGCGCGGAAGAUGUAACGGGGCUAAACCAUGCACCGAAGCUGCGGCAGCGACACUAUGUGUUGUUGGGUAGGGGAGCGUUCUGUAAGCCUGCGAAGGUGUGCUGUGAGGCAUGCUGGAGGUAUCAGAAGUGCGAAUGCUGACAUAAGUAACGAUAAAGCGGGUGAAAAGCCCGCUCGCCGGAAGACCAAGGGUUCCUGUCCAACGUUAAUCGGGGCAGGGUGAGUCGACCCCUAAGGCGAGGCCGAAAGGCGUAGUCGAUGGGAAACAGGUUAAUAUUCCUGUACUUGGUGUUACUGCGAAGGGGGGACGGAGAAGGCUAUGUUAGCCGGGCGACGGUUGUCCCGGUUUAAGCAUGUAGGCUGNGUAGGUGGGGUAACGGCUCACCUAGGCGACGAUCCCUAGCUGGUCUGAGAGGAUGACCAGCCACACUGGAACUGAGACACGGUCCAGACUCCUACGGGAGGCAGCAGUGGGGAAUAUUGCACAAUGGGCGCAAGCCUGAUGCAGCCAUGCCGCGUGUGUGAAGAAGGCCUUCGGGUUGUAAAGCACUUUCAGCGGGGAGGAAGGCGUUAAGGUUAAUAACCUCAUCGAUUGACGUUACCCGCAGAAGAAGCACCGGCUAACUCCGUGCCAGCAGCCGCGGUAAUACGGAGGGUGCAAGCGUUAAUCGGAAUUACUGGGCGUAAAGCGCACGCAGGCGGUCUGUCAAGUCGGAUGUGAAAUCCCCGGGCUCAACCUGGGAACUGCAUUCGAAACUGGCAGGCUAGAGUCUUGUAGAGGGGGGUAGAAUUCCAGGUGUAGCGGUGAAAUGCGUAGAGAUCUGGAGGAAUACCGGUGGCGAAGGCGGCCCCCUGGACAAAGACUGACGCUCAGGUGCGAAAGCGUGGGGAGCAAACAGGAUUAGAUACCCUGGUAGUCCACGCCGUAAACGAUGUCGAUUUGGAGGUUGUGCCCUUGAGGCGUGGCUUCCGGAGCUAACGCGUUAAAUCGACCGCCUGGGGAGUACGGCCGCAAGGUUAAAACUCAAAUGAAUUGACGGGGGCCCGCACAAGCGGUGGAGCAUGUGGUUUAAUUCGAUGCAACGCGAAGAACCUUACCUGGUCUUGACAUCCACAGAACUUACCAGAGAUGCAUUGGUGCCUUCGGGAACUGUGAGACAGGUGCUGCAUGGCUGUCGUCAGCUCGUGUUGUGAAAUGUUGGGUUAAGUCCCGCAACGAGCGCAACCCUUAUCCUUUGUUGCCAGCGGUCCGGCCGGGAACUCAAAGGAGACUGCCAGUGAUAAACUGGAGGAAGGUGGGGAUGACGUCAAGUCAUCAUGGCCCUUACGACCAGGGCUACACACGUGCUACAAUGGCAUAUACAAAGAGAAGCGACCUCGCGAGAGCAAGCGGACCUCAUAAAGUAUGUCGUAGUCCGGAUUGGAGUCUGCAACUCGACUCCAUGAAGUCGGAAUCGCUAGUAAUCGUAGAUCAGAAUGCUACGGUGAAUACGUUCCCGGGCCUUGUACACACCGCCCGUCACACCAUGGGAGUGGGUUGCAAAAGAAGUAGGUAGCUUAACCUUCGGGAGGGCGCUUACCACUUUGUGAUUCAUGACUGGGGUGAAGUCGUAACAAGGUAACCGUAGGGGAACCUGCGGUUGGAUCACCU
This 1667-nucleotide ribosomal RNA is filed under the name Klebsiella pneumoniae. RNAcentral describes it as "bacterial SSU rRNA". It matches the Rfam family "Bacterial small subunit ribosomal RNA". Lineage: Bacteria; Pseudomonadati; Pseudomonadota; Gammaproteobacteria; Enterobacterales; Enterobacteriaceae. The record is from RNAcentral.